ACACUCCUACGGGAGGCAGCAGUGGGGAAUAUUGCACAAUGGGCGCAAGCCUGAUGCAGCCAUGCCGCGUGUAUGAAGAAGGCCUUCGGGUUGUAAAGUACUUUCAGCGGGGAGGAAGGCGAUAAGGUUAAUAACCUUGUUGAUUGACGUUACCCGCAGAAGAAGCACCGGCUAACUCCGUGCCAGCAGCCGCGGUAAUACGGAGGGUGCAAGCGUUAAUCGGAAUUACUGGGCGUAAAGCGCACGCAGGCGGUCUGUCAAGUCGGAUGUGAAAUCCCCGGGCUCAACCUGGGAACUGCAUUCGAAACUGGCAGGCUAGAGUCUUGUAGAGGGGGGUAGAAUUCCAGGUGUAGCGGUGAAAUGCGUAGAGAUCUGGAGGAAUACCGGUGGCGAAGGCGGCCCCCUGGACAAAGACUGACGCUCAGGUGCGAAAGCGUGGGGAGCAAACAGGAUUAGAAACCCCGGUAGUCCC
Molecule: ribosomal RNA, 472 nt
Filed under: uncultured organism
Description: partial 16S ribosomal RNA
Rfam family: Bacterial small subunit ribosomal RNA
Source: RNAcentral